GAAACUCGCCUAUAUGAAGUCGGAAUUGCUAGUAAUCGCGGAUCAGCAUGCCGCGGUGAAUACGUUCCCGGGCCUUGUACACACCGCCCGUCACACCAUGAGAGUCGAUAACACCCGAAGCCUGUAGUCUAACAGCAAUGAGGACGCAGUCGAAGGUGGGAUUGAUAAUUAGGGUGAAGUCGUAACAAGGUAGC
This 194-nucleotide ribosomal RNA is filed under the name uncultured bacterium. RNAcentral's name for it is "partial 16S ribosomal RNA". It matches the Rfam family "Bacterial small subunit ribosomal RNA", at positions 1307 to 1500 of the family's 1533-position model. The record is from RNAcentral.